Molecule: non-coding RNA, 46 nt
Filed under: Schistosoma haematobium
Lineage: Eukaryota; Metazoa; Platyhelminthes; Trematoda; Strigeidida; Schistosomatidae
Source: RNAcentral
AUCUAGCUGACGAGUCUCAAAAUAGGAUGAAACGCGUGUUUUGGAU